UGAAGACACACUUGAGUGUGUCCAAAAGGAUGAAACAUCAUUUAGAACCAGAUCCAGAGGAACCAUGAGAACCAACGCUGCAGACACAGGAGGAAGAGCGAUCACACUGGUCAUAGUCAGCUUCGGAGUCCUGUGCAUGCUACAAGCGUCUCUCAAUGUCGGUCUACGUCUAUUCCUCAACAUGAGUCACCAAAACCUGUCUGAAGAAAGAGAUGAGCUACACAAAAUGUAUUCAC
Molecule: long non-coding RNA, 236 nt
Organism: Periophthalmus magnuspinnatus
Lineage: Eukaryota; Metazoa; Chordata; Actinopteri; Gobiiformes; Gobiidae
Exons: 3
Source: RefSeq, a predicted model, not a curated record